AGAAAUCUCACCCGGCCCGGACACCGCGAGGAUUGACAGACUGAGAGCUCUUUCUCGAUUCGGUGGGUGGUGGUGCAUGGCCGUUCUUAGUUGGUGGAGCGAUCUGUCUGGUUAAUUCCGAUAACGAACGAGACCCCAACCUGCUAACUAGCCCUCGGGUCCUGCUUCUGUUGGGCCCGACGGAAUGAUUCGCUUCUUAGAGGGACUCGCGGCGCCUAGCCGCACGAAGGGGGGCGAUAA
This 240-nucleotide ribosomal RNA is filed under the name uncultured eukaryote. RNAcentral's name for it is "partial 18S ribosomal RNA". It matches the Rfam family "Eukaryotic small subunit ribosomal RNA", at positions 1208 to 1456 of the family's 1831-position model. The record is from RNAcentral.